RNAcentral lists this ribosomal RNA (860 nucleotides) under Proteus mirabilis. Its description in RNAcentral is "partial 23S ribosomal RNA". It matches the Rfam family "Bacterial large subunit ribosomal RNA", at positions 1920 to 2779 of the family's 2925-position model. The record is from RNAcentral. Lineage: Bacteria; Pseudomonadati; Pseudomonadota; Gammaproteobacteria; Enterobacterales; Morganellaceae.
CCAGUAAACGGCGGCCGUAACUAUAACGGUCCUAAGGUAGCGAAAUUCCUUGUCGGGUAAGUUCCGACCUGCACGAAUGGCGUAAUGAUGGCCAGGCUGUCUCCACCCGAGACUCAGUGAAAUUGAACUCGCUGUGAAGAUGCAGUGUACCCGCGGCAAGACGGAAAGACCCCGUGAACCUUUACUAUAGCUUGACACUGAACAUUGAGCCUUGAUGUGUAGGAUAGGUGGGAGGCUUUGAAGUGUGGACGCCAGUCUGCAUGGAGCCAACCUUGAAAUACCACCCUUUAACGUUUGAUGUUCUAACCUAGGCCCAUAAACUGGGUCGGGGACCGUGUCUGGUGGGUAGUUUGACUGGGGCGGUCUCCUCCUAAAGAGUAACGGAGGAGCACGAAGGUUGGCUAAGCAUGGUCGGACAUCAUGCGGUUAGUGCAAAGGCAUAAGCCAGCUUGACUGCGAGAGUGACGGCUCGAGCAGGUACGAAAGUAGGUCUUAGUGAUCCGGUGGUUCUGAAUGGAAGGGCCAUCGCUCAACGGAUAAAAGGUACUCCGGGGAUAACAGGCUGAUACCGCCCAAGAGUUCAUAUCGACGGCGGUGUUUGGCACCUCGAUGUCGGCUCAUCACAUCCUGGGGCUGAAGUAGGUCCCAAGGGUAUGGCUGUUCGCCAUUUAAAGUGGUACGCGAGCUGGGUUUAGAACGUCGUGAGACAGUUCGGUCCCUAUCUGCCGUGGGCGUUGGAAGAUUGAGAGGGGUUGCUCCUAGUACGAGAGGACCGGAGUGAACGCACCACUGGUGUUCGGGUUGUCAUGCCAAUGGCAUUGCCCGGUAGCUAAGUGCGGAAGAGAUAACCGCUGAAAGCA